RNAcentral lists this ribosomal RNA (465 nucleotides) under Vreelandella stevensii. RNAcentral describes it as "partial 16S ribosomal RNA". It matches the Rfam family "Bacterial small subunit ribosomal RNA", at positions 338 to 795 of the family's 1533-position model. Lineage: Bacteria; Pseudomonadati; Pseudomonadota; Gammaproteobacteria; Oceanospirillales; Halomonadaceae. The record is from RNAcentral.
CCUACGGGGGGCAGCAGUGGGGAAUAUUGGACAAUGGGGGCAACCCUGAUCCAGCCAUGCCGCGUGUGUGAAGAAGGCCCUCGGGUUGUAAAGCACUUUCAGUGAGGAAGAACGCCUGGUGGUUAAUACCCAUCAGGAAAGACAUCACUCACAGAAGAAGCACCGGCUAACUCCGUGCCAGCAGCCGCGGUAAUACGGAGGGUGCGAGCGUUAAUCGGAAUUACUGGGCGUAAAGCGCGCGUAGGUGGCUUGAUAAGCCGGUUGUGAAAGCCCCGGGCUCAACCUGGGAACGGCAUACGGAACUGUCAAGCUAGAGUGCAGGAGAGGAAGGUAGAAUUCCCGGUGUAGCGGUGAAAUGCGUAGAGAUCGGGAGGAAUACCAGUGGCGAAGGCGGCCUUCUGGACUGACACUGACACUGAGGUGCGAAAGCGUGGGUAGCAAACAGGAUUAGAUACCCUUGUAGUC